Molecule: ribosomal RNA, 515 nt
Filed under: uncultured bacterium
Lineage: Bacteria
Description: partial 16S ribosomal RNA
Rfam family: Bacterial small subunit ribosomal RNA
Source: RNAcentral
AACGAACGCUGGCGGCGUGCUUAACACAUGCAAGUCGAACGCGAAAGGGACUUCGGUCCUGAGUAAAGUGGCGCACGGGUGAGUAACGCGUAGAUAACCUGUCUUCGUGUCUGGAAUAAUACGCCGAAAGGUGUACUAAUACCGGAUAUUCUUGCUUUAUAUAAGUUUUGCAAGCAAAGGUGGCCUCUGCAUAUGCUACCGCAUGAAGAGGGGUCUGCGUACCAUUAGCUAGUAGGUAGGGUAAGGGCCUACCUAGGCGACGAUGGUUAGCGGGUCUGGGAGGAUGAUCCGCCACACUGGCACUGGAACACGGGCCAGACUCCUACGGGAGGCAGCAGUGAGGAAUAUUGCGCAAUGGGGGCAACCCUGACGCAGCGACGCCGCGUGAGUGAGGAAGGCCUUCGUGUCGUAAAGCUCUGUCAAGAGGAAAGAAGUGCAUGGUGGUUAAUACCCGCCAUGUUUGACGGUACCUCUAAAGGAAGCACCGGCUAACUCCGUGCCAGCCGCCGCAGUAA